This is a transfer RNA of 94 nucleotides. It matches the Rfam family "tRNA". From Rfam's summary of the family: Transfer RNA (tRNA) molecules are approximately 80 nucleotides in length. Their secondary structure includes four short double-helical elements and three loops (D, anti-codon, and T loops). Further hydrogen bonds mediate the characteristic L-shaped molecular structure. tRNAs have two regions of fundamental functional importance: the anti-codon, which is responsible for specific mRNA codon recognition, and the 3' end, to which the tRNAs corresponding amino acid is attached (by aminoacyl-tRNA synthetases). tRNAs cope with the degeneracy of the genetic code in two manners: having more than one tRNA (with a specific anti-codon) for a particular amino acid; and 'wobble' base-pairing, i.e. permitting non-standard base-pairing at the 3rd anti-codon position. The record is from Rfam.
GGCCGCGUGGCGUAAUGGCAACGCGCUAGUUUCCGGUCAAAAGGCUAUUGGUUGCGGUAGCUAGAGAUUGUGGGUUCGAACCCCACCGUGGUCG